AUUGAACGCUGGCGGCAUGCCUUACACAUGCAAGUCGAACGGCAGCACGGACUUCGGUCUGGUGGCGAGUGGCGAACGGGUGAGUAAUGUAUCGGAACGUACCUUUCAGUGGGGGAUAACGUAGCGAAAGUUACGCUAAUACCGCAUAUUCUGUGAGCAGGAAAGCAGGGGAUCGAAAGACCUUGCGCUGAUUGGGCGGCCGAUAUCAGAUUAGCUAGUUGGUGGGGUAAGGGCCUACCAAGGCGACGAUCUGUAGCGGGUCUGAGAGGAUGAUCCGCCACACUGGAACUGAGACACGGUCCAGACUCCUACGGGAGGCAGCAGUGGGGAAUUUUGGACAAUGGGGGCAACCCUGAUCCAGCCAUGCCGCGUGAGUGAAGAAGGCCUUCGGGUUGUAAAGCUCUUUCGGCCGGGAAGAAAUCGCAUAGGCUAAUACCCUGUGUGGAUGACGGUACCGGAAUAAGAAGCACCGGCUAACUACGUG
Molecule: ribosomal RNA, 484 nt
Filed under: uncultured bacterium
Lineage: Bacteria
Description: partial 16S ribosomal RNA
Rfam family: Bacterial small subunit ribosomal RNA
Source: RNAcentral